AACGAACGCUGGCGGCGUGCCUAACACAUGCAAGUCAGGGAGAAAGAGGUAGCAAUAUCUCGAGUAAACCGGCGAACGGGUGCGUAACGCGUAGGCAACCUUCCUUGUGGACGGGGAUAACCCCGGGAACCGGGGAGUAAUACCCGACUGUUAUUCAGUGGCAGCAUUGUCGUUGAAUAAAAGGACCCGGAAACGGGACGGCCAUGGGAGUGGGCCGUGCGUCCCACUUAGAUAGUUGGUGGGGUAACGGCUCACCAAGCGACGAUGGGUAGCUGGUCUGAGAGGACGACCAGCCACACUGGAACUGAGACACGGUCCAGACUUCUACGGAAGGCAGCAGUGAGGAAUAUUGCUCAAUGGGCGAAAGCCUGAAGCAGCGACGCCGCGUGAGGGA
RNAcentral lists this ribosomal RNA (394 nucleotides) under uncultured bacterium. RNAcentral describes it as "bacterial SSU rRNA". It matches the Rfam family "Bacterial small subunit ribosomal RNA", at positions 29 to 408 of the family's 1533-position model. The record is from RNAcentral.